Mytilus californianus (California mussel) is the source of this 601-nucleotide long non-coding RNA. RefSeq lists it as uncharacterized. NCBI's taxonomy places the organism in Eukaryota, Metazoa, Mollusca, Bivalvia, Mytilida, Mytilidae. The record is from RefSeq and is a predicted model, not a curated record. The transcript has 2 exons.
GUUGAGUAUAAACACAAUGGUCGAUUAUUGGAAUAAUAUUUGACACACAAAUGAAAUAUGGACACCAUGGCUACUAACAGAAACUGUGAUCGCUGCCAGCUGAAUGGAAAAUCAACACUAGGAAUAAUGAAAUGUAACGAAUGUGAAGAAGUAUAUUGCAUGGAUUGUGUAAAAUCACACCCGUCACUUAAAACCUUUACAUCUCAUCAAUUGAAAUCUAUCAGUAAGCAGGAUAGAUUAACAGAUAGUGACACUGGUAAUGAUCCGAUCAAUGGUGUUAGUGAUAUUUUACACAGACUUAAACAGAUGGGAGAAGACCAUGAAACACAAGUGUUCAGACAUAAAAUAAAAGAACAAUGUAUCGCUGAAAAAAUUUCAAGAACUAAAUUUCAGCUUCUUAGCCAGUUAAACAAAUUGGAGCCAAAUACAACACUUAUUAGUGGCCAUGAAGAUAGAAUUGAGCACAUGAAAAAUGAAUUAAAACAGUGAAAUACAAUUAGAGAACUUAAGGUAUUUGAAGAAGAAUAUUUUACAAUCAGUUCUGUAAACUGAAUUGUAUGCUUUGUAAGAAUUCAUAUUAUUAAAGAAUAUUGAUGUAAAA